GGACAGUAUCAAAUGCCUUGCUGAAAUCAAGGUAGACUACAUCCACUGCUCUCCCCCUAUCCACCCAGCCAGAGACAACAUCAUAGAAGGCUACCAGUUGUCUGGAGAUGACAUCCAGUACAAGCUGUUCCAUCACCUUUCCAGGGACAGAGUCUUCAGGCACCUUCCCCGUCUUCCAAGACUUCUCAAAGAUGACCGAAAGCGGUUCAGCAAUCACCUCUGCCAGCCCCUUCAGCACCCGUGGAUGAAUC
This is a long non-coding RNA of Lagopus muta (rock ptarmigan), 251 nucleotides long. RefSeq lists it as uncharacterized. The record is from RefSeq and is a predicted model, not a curated record. The transcript is spliced from 3 exons. Lineage: Eukaryota; Metazoa; Chordata; Aves; Galliformes; Phasianidae.